This 497-nucleotide ribosomal RNA is filed under the name uncultured bacterium. RNAcentral's name for it is "partial 16S ribosomal RNA". It matches the Rfam family "Bacterial small subunit ribosomal RNA", at positions 28 to 507 of the family's 1533-position model. The record is from RNAcentral.
GAUGAACGCUGGCGGCGUGCCUAAUACAUGCAAGUCGAGCGGAAGGACGAGAAGUUUGUUUCUCUGUUGUUAGGGGCGGACGGGUGUGUAACACGUGGAUAACCUACCUAUCUGACUGGGAUAACUUGGGGAAACCGGAGAUUAUACCGGAUAAUCUUUUGAUCCGCAUGGUUGAAAAGUGAAAGACGGUCUUGCUGUAUCUUCUAGCUGGUUCUGGGCUGCAUUAGCUAGUUGUGAAGGUAAAGGUUUACCAAGGCGACUAUGCAUUAACGACGUGCGAGAGUGGUCGGCCACAUGAGAACUGGAACGCGGACCAGAGUACUACGGGAGGCAGCAGUAGGGAAUCGUACGCAGUGGGCGAGAGCCUGACGGAGCGACGCCGCGUGAGAGAUGAAGGUCUUCCGAUCGGAAAACUCUGUUAUUAGGGAAAAACAGAUUUGUAAGUAACUGUGGACAUCUUGACGGUACCGAGUCAGAAAGCCACGGCUAACUACGUG